UGCCAGACUCCUACGGGAGGCAGCAGUGGGGAAUAUUGCACAAUGGGGGAAACCCUGAUGCAGCGACGCCGCGUGAGCGAUGAAGUAUUUCGGUAUGUAAAGCUCUAUCAGCAGGGAAGAAAAUGACGGUACCUGACUAAGAAGCCCCGGCUAACUACGUGCCAGCAGCCGCGGCAAUACGUAGGGGGCAAGCGUUAUCCGGAUUUACUGGGUGUAAAGGGAGCGUAGACGGCAAUGCAAGCCAGAUGUGAAAGCCCGGGGCUCAACCCCGGGACUGCAUUUGGAACUGUGUAGCUGGAGUGUCGGAGAGGCAGGCGGAAUUCCUAGUGUAGCGGUGAAAUGCGUAGAUAUUAGGAGGAACACCAGUGGCGAAGGCGGCCUGCUGGACGAUGACUGACGUUGAGGCUCGAAAGCGUGGGGAGCAAACAGGAUUAGAUACCCGAGUACAA
RNAcentral lists this ribosomal RNA (449 nucleotides) under uncultured bacterium. Its description in RNAcentral is "bacterial SSU rRNA". It matches the Rfam family "Bacterial small subunit ribosomal RNA", at positions 329 to 798 of the family's 1533-position model. The record is from RNAcentral.